UGGGGAAUUUUGGACAAUGGGGGAAACCCUGAUCCAGCCAUCCCGCGUGUGCGAUGAAGGCCUUCGGGUUGUAAAGCACUUUUGGCAGGAAAGAAACGUCAUGGGUUAAUACCCCGUGAAACUGACGGUACCUGCAGAAUAAGCACCGGCUAACUACGUGCCAGCAGCCGCGGUAAUACGUAGGGUGCAAGCGUUAAUCGGAAUUACUGGGCGUAAAGCGUGCGCAGGCGGUUCGGAAAGAAAGAUGUGAAAUCCCAGAGCUCAACUGUGGAACUGCAUUUAUAACUACCGGGCUAGAGUGUGUCAGAGGGGGGUGAAAUUCCGCGUGUAGCAGUGAAAUGCGUAGAUAUGCGGAGAAACACCGAUGGCGAGGGCAGCCUCCUGGGAUAACACUGACGCUCAUGCACGAAAGCGUGGGGAGCAAACGGG
This 429-nucleotide ribosomal RNA is filed under the name Acidobacteriota bacterium. RNAcentral describes it as "Acidobacteria bacterium partial 16S ribosomal RNA". It matches the Rfam family "Bacterial small subunit ribosomal RNA", at positions 355 to 776 of the family's 1533-position model. The record is from RNAcentral. Lineage: Bacteria; Pseudomonadati; Acidobacteriota.